GUCUUUCUAGUAUGAAUUAGCACAAGUGACUUCCAAUCACUCAGUCUUGGUUAAACCCCAAGGAAAGAUA
RNAcentral lists this transfer RNA (70 nucleotides) under Embiotoca jacksoni (black perch). Its description in RNAcentral is "tRNA-Gly". It matches the Rfam family "tRNA". From Rfam's summary of the family: Transfer RNA (tRNA) molecules are approximately 80 nucleotides in length. Their secondary structure includes four short double-helical elements and three loops (D, anti-codon, and T loops). Further hydrogen bonds mediate the characteristic L-shaped molecular structure. tRNAs have two regions of fundamental functional importance: the anti-codon, which is responsible for specific mRNA codon recognition, and the 3' end, to which the tRNAs corresponding amino acid is attached (by aminoacyl-tRNA synthetases). tRNAs cope with the degeneracy of the genetic code in two manners: having more than one tRNA (with a specific anti-codon) for a particular amino acid; and 'wobble' base-pairing, i.e. permitting non-standard base-pairing at the 3rd anti-codon position. The record is from RNAcentral. Lineage: Eukaryota; Metazoa; Chordata; Actinopteri; Embiotocidae.